Molecule: non-coding RNA, 24 nt
Filed under: Arabidopsis thaliana (thale cress)
Lineage: Eukaryota; Viridiplantae; Streptophyta; Magnoliopsida; Brassicales; Brassicaceae
Source: RNAcentral
AUUGGUGGAGUAUGAGUGAUGUUU